RNAcentral lists this ribosomal RNA (490 nucleotides) under uncultured bacterium. RNAcentral's name for it is "bacterial SSU rRNA". It matches the Rfam family "Bacterial small subunit ribosomal RNA", at positions 32 to 518 of the family's 1533-position model. The record is from RNAcentral.
AACGCUGGCGGCGUGCUUAACACAUGCAAGUCGAACGAAGCAGCAGUGAAGGAGGCUUCGGCCAAUGGAACUGUUGACUUAGUGGCGGACGGGUGAGUAACGCGUGAGCAACCUGCCUUUCAGAGGGGGAUAACGUUUGGAAACGAACGCUAAUACCGCAUGACAUAGAGAUGUCGCAUGGCAUAGCUAUCAAAGGAGCAAUCCGGCUGAAAGAUGGGCUCGCGUCCGAUUAGAUAGUUGGUGGGGUAACGGCCUACCAAGUCGACGAUCGGUAGCCGGACUGAGAGGUUGAACGGCCACAUUGGGACUGAGACACGGCCCAGACUCCUACGGGAGGCAGCAGUGGGGAAUAUUGCACAAUGGGCGCAAGCCUGAAUGCAGCAACGCCGCGUGAGGGAAGACGGUUUUCGGAUUGUAAACCUCUGUCCUUGGUGAAGAUAAUGACGGUAGCCGAGGAGGAAGCCACGGCUAACUACGUGCCAGCCGCCGC